This 8590-nucleotide long non-coding RNA is filed under the name Daucus carota (carrot). RNAcentral's name for it is "long non-coding RNA (DCAR_LNC002829)". The record is from RNAcentral. Lineage: Eukaryota; Viridiplantae; Streptophyta; Magnoliopsida; Apiales; Apiaceae.
GAAAAAAAUUUAGCCACAUAUUUCAUUUCAUCCCUCAAGGAGAAGAAAUUAUUUCAAGUUCUGGAUCGUCGAGUAGUGAGAGAAGGGUCGAUGGAUCAACUUCAAAACGCUGCUCAACUUGUGAAACGGUGCCUUAACCUUAAUGGCGAGGAAAGACCAGCUAUGAAGGAUGUGGUGACGGAAAUAGAGAGUCUGAGGAAAUUCAGCAAACAUCCUUGGGCUAAUCGACAUGGCACUGAGGAAACUACAAGCUUGAUAGUUCAUACAGAGAUUCAGCAUUCAGACCUCUAUGAAAUUCAGCUAAGUUCUCAUGAUGGGAAUAACUCUGAACAGUAUAGCUCAAGUACUACUGUUAGUUUGUUGCACCAGCCAAGCAGCCCUCGUUGAGAUAUAUCUUGAACUCCAUGAUUUGUUCAUAAUACAUGCAUGUGUAUUCUAAAAUUUCAUUUCCAUGUCUAGUUACCGGUUUGUUACACGGUUCAUUUCUAUCUAGUUAUGCAUACAUAUUCGAUAAAGUGGUUUUUAUACAAGGAACACACUGUAUACGCAAAUAGUUAUAUGUUUUAGUAGGGAAGCAUUCGAUUCGGUCAACCGAAGACCGAACCGAAUAACCGAAAAAAAUAAAUUCGAUUUAAUUAACCAAACUACAUAUUUCAGUUCAGUUUUCGGCAAUAAAAUUUCAAAAAUUCGGUAUUUUUUUGUCAGCUUUUAGCCGCGGUUAACCGAUAACCGUUCGGUUGAUAACCGUUACUUAAUUGUCAAUACUAAAUAAUUUAUUAAUAUCACCUAAUUAUCUAUACAGAGAAAUUAUUCAAUUUAAACUUUAAAACCAAAUAGAUUUGAAACUCCUUAAAUGAACCGAAGAUUCUUUACUUCAAUUAGCUUUAAAUCAUUUUUUUGUUUGUGUAUAUAUAUUUGGGUUUAUGUGUAUAUAUUUGGGUUUGUAUGAUAAUGAGGUUAGUAUGUUAAUCUUUGGGUUUGUGUAUCAUUGUCUGUAUGUCAAUUAGGUUACUUGGAAUCUUGGAUACACUGCUGUUAACAUUUCACCGUUGGCUGCUGCUACUCCUUGUUCAUGUGCUGCACUCAGUUGAAAUAAUAUCAGUACAGAGCAUGUAUAAUGUUAUGUGUUACAGAGCUGCAGCUAGAGCUGGCCAAAUGAGCAGGUUCGAACCGCUUGUUCGGAACAGAACCGCCUACUUAUUUGUCAAAAUUCUACUUGUGGCGGGUUUGAUUAGGCCCGGCUCGGCUCGUUAAAUAUUACGAAUCGAAUACGAAUAACUAUAUGGGAAACUGGAACCGGCCCGCGAAUCAAACUAAUCAUGCACGUCUUCGGCUCACGAAUCGAACAAGGCGAACGAAUCAAACGAGUCAGACAAAUCGAACGUAUUCAGCCCGGACCGGCUCGCGCGGAAUCAGCCUGCGAGUCCGGCCACGCGCCAGUCUGUUCUGCAGGCUGCAGCAAGGUUCGUCUGUGACUCUAACUCGUCUUUUAUCCCCAAUGUUUGUCUCCCCUCCCAGUUCAGCUUUUGCAGGCACCAACGGCUACAUAGCCAGUCUUUCCCUCUUUUUGUCAUUUCAUCGAACACCUGCUUGGCUGCUUUGCACUCGAAAAUUACUAGCUGAAAUAGCGACUACAAAACCUUUUUUUUUUUUUGCGCUAAAUACAAAACUUUUUUUAAUCUAAUUAACUGAAUUACUAGCUGAAAUAGCGACAACAAGUUACAAUUACAACAAGUCAAGAUAUAUCAGUGGCAACUACGAAUUAUAAGCUGCAGAUCGCAAGUAAUAAUCAUGAUACAUUUUUAGAGAUUUAGUUCAGUAACAUAGAUGGCAGAACUAAAUUUUUUAAUAAUAUUUACUUGUUCAACUGGGAGUAUGUUUUACAUUUUUAUUUUUUACAAAUUUUGAAACUGAAAGCAAACCAAGAUUUUAAAAUCGAAAUGAAAUAGAUUGUUCCGCGUUGCGGUUGCGGUUUUUGAUUUUUAAAACCAAUGAUUUUCGGUUCCAACCGAUUUUAGUUUAUCCAAAAACCUAACCGAAUUGAGAUUUGCUCUCCCUCAUCCGUUGCAUGCUUAUAAGAAUUUCAAAAAUCCGUAAAAAGACUUAGGAAAGGAUAUCUACGGUAGAGAGGCACAAUAUUCAUCACAAAACAAAUUCAUAUAUAACAAUCAGAAAAAAUAAAAAUAAUAUUAAUCUUUGUGCUAGAUGCACAACUGGAAAUGAAAACAUAAGCGAGAAAUACGCAUGUUAAAUUAAUAUGUGCGAACUUUUUUUAAUAACCACUUGGAGCUUUCUCGUUUGAAACCGGAUAUUAAGAGUAUCUCCAAUAAUCUCUUAAUUAACUCUUAAAUAAUAAUAAAUAUAAUAUAAAAUAUUAAACUCUAGUAAAUUAGUCAUUAUUAGGAGUGUGAACUUCAACAAUAUUCUUUAUGCUCACUUUUAAUAUUAUAUUUUUUUCUUGUUUGAACUCCACUAUGACAAACAUUCAAAUUCAAAUGAGAGAUAAUUGAUAUUUUAUUAUAAAAAAAUAAGUUAAAAAUCAUGUAAUGGCUCUUAAAAGAGAGGAGAAAAAAGAGGCUUCUAGUAUUUUUAGGAGCUAUUGAGAGUCUCUUGGAGUUCUAUUUUUUCUCAUGCUCCUAUUUUUGGUCUUAAGAGCCUAUUUGAGAGUCUAUUGGAGCUGCACUAAUGAAUAUGCUCUAAUGAAUAAUUACUACUCCUUCUGUCCCGUGUAGUUCUAUGUAUACGUAUGGGGUGUGACACAGAUUUACUGAUUCGGAGUCACGUCCGGUUCUCAGACCUGCCAAGAACAAAUCUCGACCGGUGAAAUCAUAAUGCGCAUAAAGUGGGUGUAGUGUGAGUAAAAUAAUAGGACCAAUUAAUAUUUAACGUAUAAAGUGAGUGUACCGGAAAAAAAAUGGGUGAAGUUAAUCUUUUAUAUUAUAAAGUUUUAUAUUAUUUUUGGAAUCUAUACAAUUGAAUGGUAUAUCCAAAAAGAAACCGUAUAAAAAUGAAUUAGACGAGGAGUAAUGAAACAAGGACCAGUUAACAGUCUUGACCGUCACCAUGGAGCAACCAUAUUUGAUGCCAAAACAUCGAAGACCCAGCUUAUGGAGUUGGCAUAGACCUGCAAGCAUUGACCAACAAGCAUACUUUUCUAAAUGUGGAAAGCAAGGCAAAAACUGACGGUGCACAUUCGCAGAAGACCAUUCGGAUAACAAGAUUAAAGGAAACUGUGGUGUGGAGCUUCACCUGUAACAUCAAUACCAGCUGACCAGAACUUUACAUCGUACACAUUGUCAUAUCCGUCGAAAGACUAGCGUGUUUCAAGGGCAAUUCCUUUUGGAGUGUAUUGCAGAGCUUUCCGAUUUGUGAUGCUACCGCAGAAAGCAAUUUUUGAGGUAAGUACUGAGGUUGUGGUGGCAAAUGCUGAGAAUUUUCAUACUUGUUUGGUAGUUGAAAAGUCUUGGAGAGCGAGAGCCUGGGUCGGCCUUGGGUAAGGCGACCAAGGCGAACGGUUAGGGCACCAUUAUUUUAGAGGCACCAAAAAAUCUAUGCGUAUAUAGUAUAUAUAGAUAAAUUCAUGCAUUUAUAUAUUUACAUGCAUGUGAAUUGAUUGUGUUAUUAAUCUUAAAACAAUAUUGAGUCAAUUUUCAAAUGAGUGAUAUUUUUGAUACAAACUUACAAAGUGAGUGACUAAAUUGAGUCAAUUUUCAAAUGAGUGAGUAAUUUGAUAUAUUUGAACCAAACGAAUUAUGACAUUGAUAUUUAUCCCAAUUUAAAUGUAUGUAAAUUUUUGUUUUACGAUUUUGAAAAGGCUUAAUGACCUUUUAGCCCUUGAAGUUUGGGUGGAAGUUCCGAUGCGGCCUCGAAGUUUAAAAACGUACCUUUCGACCUUCAAAGUAUUUUUGUCGUACCUUUUAGCCCUUAUGGCAUAUACUGGUAUAUAACGGGGUGGACAAAGUUGACAUUUCACACGUGAGGGUUAAAAGGGACAUUAAACAUUAAGGGUUAAAAGGAACAUCUAAUGUAUUUUAAUGUAUUUUAUAGGGAUUAAAAAGGAACGAGAUGUAUACUUUAAGAGUUAAAAGGUAUGCCCAAACUUUACCCCGAAUAUGAAUUGUCAACUUUAUCCCCCGAUUUAUACCGGUAUUUUUAAAAAUGGCUAAAAGGUACAAUCGACCGGUGAAAUCAUAAUGCGCAUAAAGUGGGUGUAGUGUGAGUAAAAUAAUAGGACCAAUUAAUAUUUAACGUAUAAAGUGAGUGUACCGGAAAAAAAAUGGGUGAAGUUAAUCUUUUAUAUUAUAAAGUUUUAUAUUAUUUUUGGAAUCUAUACAAUUGAAUGGUAUAUCCAAAAAGAAACCGUAUAAAAAUGAAUUAGACGAGGAGUAAUGAAACAAGGACCAGUUAACAGUCUUGACCGUCACCAUGGAGCAACCAUAUUUGAUGCCAAAACAUCGAAGACCCAGCUUAUGGAGUUGGCAUAGACCUGCAAGCAUUGACCAACAAGCAUACUUUUCUAAAUGUGGAAAGCAAGGCAAAAACUGACGGUGCACAUUCGCAGAAGACCAUUCGGAUAACAAGAUUAAAGGAAACUGUGGUGUGGAGCUUCACCUGUAACAUCAAUACCAGCUGACCAGAACUUUACAUCGUACACAUUGUCAUAUCCGUCGAAAGACUAGCGUGUUUCAAGGGCAAUUCCUUUUGGAGUGUAUUGCAGAGCUUUCCGAUUUGUGAUGCUACCGCAGAAAGCAAUUUUUGAGGUAAGUACUGAGGUUGUGGUGGCAAAUGCUGAGAAUUUUCAUACUUGUUUGGUAGUUGAAAAGUCUUGGAGAGCGAGAGCCUGGGUCGGCCUUGGGUAAGGCGACCAAGGCGAACGGUUAGGGCACCAUUAUUUUAGAGGCACCAAAAAAUCUAUGCGUAUAUAGUAUAUAUAGAUAAAUUCAUGCAUUUAUAUAUUUACAUGCAUGUGAAUUGAUUGUGUUAUUAAUCUUAAAACAAUAUUGAGUCAAUUUUCAAAUGAGUGAUAUUUUUGAUACAAACUUACAAAGUGAGUGACUAAAUUGAGUCAAUUUUCAAAUGAGUGAGUAAUUUGAUAUAUUUGAACCAAACGAAUUAUGACAUUGAUAUUUAUCCCAAUUUAAAUGUAUGUAAAUUUUUGUUUUACGAUUUUGAAAAGGCUUAAUGACCUUUUAGCCCUUGAAGUUUGGGUGGAAGUUCCGAUGCGGCCUCGAAGUUUAAAAACGUACCUUUCGACCUUCAAAGUAUUUUUGUCGUACCUUUUAGCCCUUAUGGCAUAUACUGGUAUAUAACGGGGUGGACAAAGUUGACAUUUCACACGUGAGGGUUAAAAGGGACAUUAAACAUUAAGGGUUAAAAGGAACAUCUAAUGUAUUUUAAUGUAUUUUAUAGGGAUUAAAAAGGAACGAGAUGUAUACUUUAAGAGUUAAAAGGUAUGCCCAAACUUUACCCCGAAUAUGAAUUGUCAACUUUAUCCCCCGAUUUAUACCGGUAUUUUUAAAAAUGGCUAAAAGGUACAAUAAAGAUACUUUGAGGGUCGAAAGGUACGUUUUUAAACUUCGAGGCCGCAUCGGAACUUCCACCCAUACUUCGAGGGCUAAAAGGUCAUUAAGCCAUUUGAAAAAUAGAAGUACUAUUUUCAAAAUUCGUUUAGGGCACCCAAAUCUCUGGGGCCGGCCCCGCGGGGAGAGCAGACAAGGGGAGUUAUAGGAGUAUGAUUGCUAUAUAAACAGAGCUAUGGACUGAGGAACAAGAAUAUACAGCAACAAUAUACACACCAAGAACAUACACUUCCGAUAUCGAAAAGCUAAACACGAAAAUGUCCUCCUGUCUUUUUUUCCUUGUUGUUCUCCUGCAUUUUUCCUUCGGGUUAAAACAGCUAGAGUCGACCACUCUUAGUUUUAAUACCACCGACGCUAAACACAGUAUUCGGAUGGCUAAAAACAUUACAAUUGAGCCAAAAUGUCAGAGUAAAUGCGGAGACCUGACGGUACCAUAUCCGUUUGGAAUCGUAUCAAAGGGUCUCAAGUGUUCCAUAGACCCCUCUUUUGAUAUUACGUGCAACAAUUCUUUCAAUCCUCCCAAGGCCUUUAUACAAACUGGUAACAUUCAGGUGUAUGAUAUAUCGGACACUGAGUUAAGAGUAUCAACUUUCAUGUCUUCCAGAUGCUAUAAUCAGCCCGGCUUUUUAAAUUACACCGAAGCUCGGGUUAAUGUUGAACCUCCGUAUAUAUAUUCUGACGCAAAUGUGUUCACAGUUGUUGGUUGUGAUGACUUUGGCAGCCUUUUCAGAGAUGUAAAUUCCGUUUCCCGUAAAGGAUGCAUGACAACAUGCGACGACGCUGAGGAUGUCGAUAAAGAUGAGUGCUCCGGCAAUGGUUGUUGUCAAACAUCCGUCAAUCUUGACAAGUAUUUCCGAAUCGGUCUUUCAAGCGAUUUUAAUCAUACAUAUAACGUCUCAUCAUUUAACCCGUGCGGUUAUGCAUUUUUGGGUGAGAAAGAUAAAUUCAAGUUUCAAGGCACAUCAGAUCUUAAUGAUCCAGAUUUCCGGAACAGGACUAAGGCUAAUGUUCCUAUAGUACUAGACUGGGGUAUAGGGAAGAACAAUUGCAUUGAAGCACAGAAAGACCAAGCUUCUUAUGCUUGCAAACAUGAAAAUAGUGACUGCAUAAAUGGAAGUAGGUCUGGUGGAUAUCGUUGCAUUUGCAGAGAUGGUUAUGAGGGUAAUCCAUAUCUCAGUCCAGGAUGCCAAGGUAAUUAAUCUAACUCUUCAUUCUAAUUUUGAAUAUUUGGAGUAUCUAAUGAGCUGAUUUAAUCUAAUUUAAUUGUUUGAUUGUAAGAUAUAAAUGAAUGUGAACAACAUACACAUGGUUGUGAACAACACUGCAAUAAUACUCAGGGGGGUUUUAAUUGCUAUUGCGGAUCCGGCUACUCUAUUGAUGUUCGUGAUGGCAAAAAAUGCACUGCUAAAAGUGUUUUAAUUGCUAACGGCAACAGGAUCAAGUUGGUAUUAGGUAAAUUAGUUCUCAGCAAUGAUCCAUACAUAUGCAUAAUGUACUGGAAUAAAUAAUCAUGUGAUAUACGGGUGUAUCAUGCAGGUUUGGUAAUUUGUUGCCUUUUAGUAAUCAUCGGAAUGAACUGGCUGUACUGCAUCAUGAAGCAGAGAAAGCAUUCUCAAUUACGAGAAAAAUUCUUUGAGCAGAACGGGGGUUUUCUCUUAAGACAACAAAGUAUUUCUGAGGGAGGUAGUAUCGAGUCUACAAAACAUUUCACUUACGAAGAAUUGAAGAAAGCGACCAACAACUAUGCUGCUGAUAGAAUAGUUGGACAAGGUGGUUAUGGUAUAGUUUACGAAGGAAUUUUACCUGAUCAACGUGUCGUUGCAGUCAAAAGGUCUAAAGUAUUGGAUACGAGUCAAAUAGAUCAAUUUAUCAACGAGGUGGUCGUUCUUGCACAAGUUAACCACAGAAAUGUGGUCAAACUUCUAGGAUGUUGUUUAGAAUGUGAGGUGCCAUUGUUGGUAUAUGAGUUUAUAUCUAAUGGCACUUUGUUCCAUCAUGUCCACAGUACUGACGGAGGCUUGUCAUGGUUAUCUUUAGACAAUCGGUUGAGAGUUGCUGCUGAAUCUGCUGGUGCCCUUGCGUAUCUUCAUUCAGAAGCUUCUAUGCCCAUUAUGCAUAGAGAUGUCAAAUUAGCCAACAUAUUACUUGAUGACAAUUAUGUUGCUAAAAUAUCUGAUUUCGGAGCCUCCAGGCUGGUACCCAUGGAUCAAACUAAAGUGAUCACAUUAGUCCAAGGAACUUUAGGCUACUUGGACCCUGAAUACUUCCAUACAGGUGAACUAACCGACAAAAGUGACGUUUAUAGUUUUGGAGUGGUCCUUGCAGAGCUCUUAACUGGAAGAAAACCAAUUUCCAUGGAAAAUUCUGGGGAAGAAAAAAAUUUAGCCACGUAUUUCAUUACUUCCCUCAAGGAGAACAGAUUAUUUCAAGUUCUAGAUCGUCGAGUAGUGAGGGAAGGGUCGAUGGAUCAACUUCAAAACGCUGCUCAACUUGUGAAGAGGUGCCUUAGCCUUAAUGGCGAGGAAAGACCACCAAUGAAGGAUGUGGCGACGGAAAUGGAGAGUCUAAGGAAAUUAACCAAACAUCCUUGGGCUAAUCAACAUGGCACUGAAGAAACCACAAGCUUGAUCGUUGAUAGAGAGAUUCAGCAUUCAGACCUCUAUGAAAUUCAGCUAACUACUCAUGGUGANUUUUGGAGUGGUCCUUGCAGAGCUCUUAACUGGAAGAAAACCAAUUUCCAUGGAAAAUUCUGGGGAAGAAAAAAAUUUAGCCACGUAUUUCAUUACUUCCCUCAAGGAGAACAGAUUAUUUCAAGUUCUAGAUCGUCGAGUAGUGAGGGAAGGGUCGAUGGAUCAACUUCAAAACGCUGCUCAACUUGUGAAGAGGUGCCUUAGCCUUAAUGGCGAGGAAAGACCACCAAUGAAGGAUGUGGCGACGGAAAUGGAGAGUCUAAGGAAAUUAACCAAACAUCCUUGGGCUAAUCAACAUGGCACUGAAGAAACCACAAGCUU